GGCUUCAUAGCUCAGUGGCAGAGCAUUUGCACCAGAAUCGCAAAAUGGGUUCGUAUCCCAUUGAAGCCG
Non-coding RNA from Desmophyllum pertusum, 69 nucleotides. NCBI's taxonomy places the organism in Eukaryota, Metazoa, Cnidaria, Anthozoa, Scleractinia, Caryophylliidae. The record is from the annotation of a GenBank genome assembly.